AUGUCAGAGGAGAAUUUGAAGAUGCAUUUAAGAGUCCUACUGAGUUAACUUUAAGUUAAUCCGGAGAAAGACUAUUCUGGAUGAGCCUGACUUAAUCAGAUGAGCGCUUUAAGUUAUGUUAGUGAAAUUCGAAACUAGACAGACUCGCUGGUCAUCCUUGAAGAUGUGACACUCUCUUGAGUUCUAAAGCUAGAAGGAGGUAUAUUCUCCCACCAAUAGUGACUGAUACAGACUUUGAAUCUCACAAAACUCAGCUUUGACUGUCAUCAUGAGUCAGAUUCAUGUAAACCGGAGCUGAAGAACCAGCCGGGCCUUGCCUGGAUGUCUGACUUACAGAAACUUGCAUGAACAAUGGUGUUGCGGCCAACGCUGAUCAUGUGGCCCAUGGAGUAAUUUAGUGGAAACUGCCAGGCCACCUUCCCCUCCCCCAACUGCGCGAUGCAACGGUGCAAUUCAGUCUCCUCAGAACCAGACGUCCUCUCUCACGGGAGGAUUCCAGCCAUCUCCGACCUGCGUGGCUUAUCACCGCAGAGCACACUGCAGAUGUCCUCCAGACCACCAUCAAGUGCCAGGCUCAGCACGUUACUAAAGCCACAAGCAUCCCAGCAGGACACCCACUUUAUUAGGAAGACACUGCUAUGCUGCGGAAGGUGCCAGAAAGAAUUAUAACGCUGGGGCUUCUGAGAAAGUGGAUAAGUGGCCUGGCUGGAGAGUGCCGAGCAUCCUCAGGGCGGAGAGCCUCCAACCAGCUCUUAGUUCAGUCCACUAGCCAAAGGCCAACUCAGUAGCAAGCAGCAGCAGUCUAGUCCACAUGGCAAUCACCACUCACAAAUCAGCCAUGGCAGCUCAAUCCAGAAGAAACCACAAGGCUCCACCAAUUGACCCAAGUCUACAGACACAGCAAGAAGCAGCCAGACCACCACCAGGAGUUCUUUGGUGCAUUUCUCUCUACGAAGUCACAAAGAUCAGUGAAUUACACAAGGUGAACUAAUGCCAGAGCAUCACCCACUGUCUGUAAGGUUAUACUUACACUCUUUCCAAAUAUCACAUGUCCUCUCAACCAUCCACCCCAGCAAACAUCAUCAGGUGCUCUUUUACCAGGCAGCUUCCAGAGAAACAUGUGACUGUUCUCAGCCAAACAGCCUCUCAUAAGACAGUCUCCAGAAAAAUAUCACAUGACACAACUGGGUCUCCAACAAAACCAGAAAUUCCCACAGUAGGUACAUCAUUGGAAAAUGCUGAAAUCCAAUACAAGAAGUAGGGCUGGUGGAUAGCCAACACCUGCCACACCUUUGACCCAUCGGGGCUUUCAUUUGAAGGUCAUCUUUCCCCGAGUCUGAUCCAAGCAGGAAGGAUGUGGGAGCCAGGCCACUCCCACUCAGUGUGAGGAACCCGUGUUGGCCAUUUGUGCAGAGGCUUCCUGACAGCCUGGCCGAGACUUAGAGCUGCUGUGCAGACAAGUCCUGCUUCCAACACAUCCUUCUCUCCUUUUAGUACGCCACAGUGUUACAUCACUGUUUCCUCGAUGUCUUGAGUCUCUCCUCCAGUCAGUUUUGCGCACGCAGAGUUCCAUCUUGAUGUCCUCUUCUCCAAGGGACCUGUCUUAAGGAUUCAUGUCUCUGGGGACGAGAGAGAUGACUCGGCAGUUAAGAACACGUACGGCUUUUGUAGAGGACCUGGGUUUUAUUCCCAGCACCCCUAACUCCAAUCCCGAGAAAUCUGACAUGCUCUUCUGCACAAAUAAAUGUAACUAGAUACCAGUCCCAAUAGUUCAAGUUUUCCUUUUACCCAUGUUCCAUAGCACAUACAUUUUUCAUGCACUUGUUGGAAAUAAUAGCCCUUUCAGAGUUUGGGAAUGUUUGUUUUCCCUGAGGUGCCAGCAGGGGUUUAAGUCCUUUUUAGCAAGCGAUGCAGGGAAGUUGUGCUGGAGUGGAGGCACAGCCAAGGCGAGCAUGCCGUUUGCAGCUGCUUCCCGCUCACAACAGAGUGAAGCAGUUGCAAGAAAUAUUUGCCAAGCCCUCUUCCGGAUGCUCUUCCAGUUUUGCAGACCUUGUGGGCUUCCUUGGAAGGCUUCAUGUUCCAUUGUAGUGGCUUCCAUAGCUCUAACAUUCUCCUGUCCCAUGUUUGCUCAGCUGAAAAGGCCCUUCCAAUGCUCUAAACACACCCUGUUAAGCAGAGAAGUAAAGAUGCGAGCAAAAAAUAUCCACUCAGGUGAUUUCCCUUCUUGCUGUUAGGCUCCAAGUCUAGCUGUAAAUCAGAAUCCUCAGUUCCCACUGUUAAAGCUGAAAAACAGUUCCCAAAGACACCCUGUCCUGUUCUGUGAAACCCAUAAUGAUACCUUUCGUGAGAAAGUCUUUGCAGGGGUCAUUGUGCAAAGGAUCUCGGGAAGUGAAGACAAUACUAUACUGGGUUGCCUGGGUAUGCCCUGAACGUUGUCCCAUGUCCUUAAAAAAUUGAGGCAGAGGAAGAUCCAACAGGCCACAGGGCAGAGAUUGGAGUGGUGCCCCCAUUAGCAAGAACAUUAUCAGGCUCCAGUGGAAGAGGGCAGUGAGCAAACUCUAUCCUUGAGGAGGGGGGAAGAGCAGACCUGAAGCUUCCAGAUCCCCUGCCUCUACUGGAGACUGCAUCCUACUACCUUACAUUUGAAAGAGCUUUCUCCUCUCCUUCCCCUUUUCUCUCUCCCUCCUUUCCCCUUCCCUCCCAUCCUCAUCCUUCUUUCCCCACUUCCUCUCUCUCCAAAGCAAGCCAGACUGUACGGAACAAGCCUUUCCAAACCUCUGCUGGUUCUCCUGCUUCUGUCUCCUGGUACCAAUGUCUGGGGUAUGAGCUGUACCUCAGGUCACCCCAGUAAAGGAAAUAUCCCUGGAUGCAGCCUGUUCUCAGAGCUACCAAUAUAAUCCAGCAAGGAUUUCCUCUUCGUAUCUUCUUUUACCUUAAGUGACAAGUUCCAUUCGUGGCAGUCAAUCAACAUGCUAAUUAUUAGGUAGCCUGUUGCCAGCCAUGAGAGGUGCCAUCCAAUAGUGUCUCCAGCGAAGGACGACCACUCUGUGCUUCGAGCGUACAU
This is a non-coding RNA of Rattus norvegicus (Norway rat), 3064 nucleotides long. NCBI's taxonomy places the organism in Eukaryota, Metazoa, Chordata, Mammalia, Rodentia, Muridae. The record is from RefSeq and is a predicted model, not a curated record.